This 301-nucleotide ribosomal RNA is filed under the name uncultured bacterium. RNAcentral's name for it is "partial 16S ribosomal RNA". It matches the Rfam family "Bacterial small subunit ribosomal RNA", at positions 509 to 807 of the family's 1533-position model. The record is from RNAcentral.
CAGCCGCCGCGGUAAUACGGAGGGUGCGAGCGUUAAUCGGAAUUACUGGGCGUAAAGAGUGCGUAGGUGGUUAAUUAAGUUAUCUGUGAAAUUCCUGGGCUUAACCUGGGCAGGUCAGAUAAUACUGGUUAACUCGAGUAUGGGAGAGGGUAGUGGAAUUUCCGGUGUAGCGGUGAAAUGCGUAGAGAUCGGAAGGAACACCAGUGGCGAAGGCGGCUACCUGGCCUAAUACUGACACUGAGGCACGAAAGCGUGGGGAGCAAACAGGAUUAGAUACCCCUGUAGUCCCUGUCUCUUAUAC